AGCAGCCGCCGCGGGAAUACAGAGGGUGCGAGCGUUAAUCGGAUUUACUGGGCGUAAAGCGUGCGUAGGCGGCUUCUUAAGUCGGAUGUGAAAUCCCUGAGCUUAACUUAGGAAUUGCAUUCGAUACUGGGAAGCUAGAGUAUGGGAGAGGAUGGUAGAAUUCCAGGUGUAGCGGUGAAAUGCGUAGAGAUCUGGAGGAAUACCGAUGGCGAAGGCAGCCAUCUGGCCUAAUACUGACGCUGAGGUACGAAAGCAUGGGGAGCAAACAGGAUUAGAGACCCCUGUAGUCCCUGUCUCUUAUAC
Molecule: ribosomal RNA, 303 nt
Filed under: uncultured bacterium
Lineage: Bacteria
Description: partial 16S ribosomal RNA
Rfam family: Bacterial small subunit ribosomal RNA
Source: RNAcentral